UUCACCUAGGGUUUGCUUUUCACCCUGUGGGUUCACUCAGUAGGAAAUAUGCCACAAAUUCACCUAGGGUUUGCUUUUCACCCUGUGGGUUCACUCAGUAGGACCCGGGCGCAGAAUUUUGCUGCCUUUUGGACAAAUUCUGGCGCCAACGGCAGAACCCGAGGAGAAUCUGGGCGGAUUUGACAGUUUUUUUAAUUUUUAAAAGUUUUUUUUUGACGUUUUUGGUCAAUUCGACCCUCCAACCCUAAAUUUGACCACUAAAAAGGCAAAAAAGGUAAAGCCAAAAGAGAUAGGUUUCUGUUGAUUUUUUUAAAAAAAAAAAAUUCUUUGCAUUUGUUUUACAAAAUUUAAUGAAUUCUCUAGUUUUACUUUUAUUUUAUUUUUUCAUUUUGGUUUGUGGCUUUGUAUGUUGUUUAAUGUUUAUAGAUUCAACAUUCAUAGAGUGGCAAGUGCUUGUAGCACUGGGAACUCCCGGUUCAAAACAGACCUAGGCUCUCCACCAUGGAAAUAUGUGGAAAUGGUUCAACAACUCCCAGGUGGAGGAGGUUUCAUUUGGAUUUGCAGCCAUUACAAAGAGGAAUAUAAAAGCUCUUAUAGUAGAGUGAAAGCACAUUUGUGCUUUAUCCUGCAAAAAGGCAUCAAGUUUUGUCCAGGCAGGGCAAAAUUUCCAGGGCAGCCUGCACCUAAAACCUUGCUUGCAAACUCUAUUGUACUAAAAUAUAUUGAAUAGUGUUGGUGUUGGAAAUAAGCCACACCCGGACCGACGAUGGAGUGGUCCAAGAGGGGCCAGUAGCUCAGUGAUAGAGCACUCCAGCAGCGUAUGGAAGGUCCUAAGUUCGAGUCCUAGCUGGUCCAUGUCUCAACAAAGAGCAAAGACAAGCAGAUGAAGCAGCUGGGACUGCAAUUACUCAUACAUUGGAAAGUUUUAGAAGUAAAAAGGCAAAAAAGGCCUCUAUGGCUUCAACUUCCAAUGAACAAUCCAUAGAGGGCAAUCCAUUCUUGCAUCUUCUUGAACAACUGGUGACAAAUAAAAGAGCAAAGGGGCCCUUGGAAAUGUCAUUUCACAAUGAGGCUAGAGUCAUUGCCGACCAAGACAUGGCUAGAUGUAUCUAUGUAAAUGGAUUGGCAUUUAAUGUUGUUCGCUCAUCAUAUUGGCAAAAAAUGGUGAGAUUAAUUAAUGAGGCUCCAAGGGGGGUUCAAGGGCCUAGGUUAUGAGAAGGUGCGCACCACUUUAUUGGACAAAGUGGUGAAACAUGUAGAGGAUUCCUUGAAGCCCAUGAGGGAUUCAUGGAUCGAAACAAGUGAGUCCAUAGUAUCAUAUGGAUGGAAAGAUGCAAAAAAUCGCCCUUUGGUCAAUGUUCUUGUAGUGUCGACGAGAGGUGCAAUGUUUUUGAGAGCAAUGGAUUGUGAAGGGCAAGUGAAGGACAAUCCAUUCAUUGCAAACAUUCUUUUCCAAGCCAUUGAGCAAGUUGGCCCUCAAAAUGUUGUUCAGGUGAUAAUAGACAAUGCAAAAAAUUGUAGGGCUGCCGAGUUAUUAGUUGAGGAGCACUAUAAACACAUUUUUUGGACACCUUGUGCUGUCCACUCACUCAACCUAAUGCUGCAAAAAAAUGGCAUUAAAGUUGAGUGGAUCAAACAAAUGUAUGGUGAUGCCCAAGAGAUCCAAAUGUUCAUCACGAACCACCAUAUGUCACAAGUAUUUAGACCAUGGUUGUAAAACUCGGACUCGGCAAUGACUUGGCAAGCACAAAAUAUUUAAAAAACUCGGGACUCGCAAAAAAUCGGCAAUAACUCAGCAACUUUAUCGAACAUUUGAAAGUAUAUUUUUUUAAAUAUUCUUCAAAAGCACACAUUUAUAUAAAUUUAAUGUCAUUAAAUUUAUUUUUUAAUUAUAUUAGAAUAAACAUAUAUUAAUAGAAAACUAUUUAAGUCAGAAUAGUAUUAAUUUAACAUCAUAGUAUUGAAAAUUCAUGUCUCAUAGUAUUAAUUUUACAUUUAAAUACGCUGUUUUUUAAUGUCUGUGAGUCUUUCUGCGAGUGACUCGGCUGAGCAAAUGACCCGCGAGUCCUGCAAGUACUCGCAAAGUUUUUCAACUAUGAUUUAGACAAUUCUCGAGAUUGGAGCUCUUGAAGGUUGUUGAGACCCGUUUUGCCUCCAACACUAUUGUUUUGAGACGUCUUGUGAAGGUUAAAGAGGCAUUGUCAAGAAUGGUAACAAUGCUAAUUGAAGCAUAUGGAGGCAAUCUAGUGGUACAAGGGCAGCUGCCAUUAAGGCAAUGAUACUAGAUGACUCUUGGUGGGAUUGUGUUGAGUACCUCUUGAGAUUUACUGAGCCCAUAUUGAGCAUGUUCCAAUACACUAACAUGGAUAGGCCUUGCUUGGGUGAGGUAUAUGAUGGCAUUGACUCCAUGAUUGAGGAUAUAAAAAAAAUCAUAAAUGAGAAAGAGCAAGAUCCUGAAAAAACAUUCUUCAAGGAAUUAUAGAAAAUCAUGGUGGAGAGAUGGAACAAAAUGGCUACACUUUUGCAUAUCCUUGCCUUUGCAUUGAUCCCAAAGUACUAUAGUCGGGAGGUCCUUAAUAAGAGUAGCAAUAGAGUUGCCCCAUAUAGAGAUCAUAAAGUUGCUAUUGGAUACAAGGCAACCCUUUGUAGAUUGUUUCCAAAUUCAUUACAGGCUGUGGUGAGGGCUGAAGUCAUCAGUUUCACAAGCAUGGAUGAUUGUGGUAUUGAGGUUGUUGAAGACAAGACAAAUGUUGAUGCUCAUAAAUGGUGGCACUUCCAUGGAGAAAUAUACCAGCACCUACAACCCAUCGCCAUCAAAAUUUUGUCACAAGUUGCUAGUUCAUCAUCAUCCGAGAGGAUUUGGAGCACAUAAUCCUUCAUCUACUCAAUAAAACGCAAUAGACUACAUUCCAAGAAGACAAAAGACUUGCUCUAUGUGCAUUCAAACUUGAGGCUCCUAACACACAAAGAUAAUACCUACAAACAAGGGGAGGCAAAACAUUGGGAUGUUGAACCAGAUCAUGCAGAGUUGGAUGAUUCAAUUGCCUGCCUUAAUGCACUUAGAGUUGAUGAUGAUGAUUAUGAGCUACCUAGUGAUCAUGAGGCUGCU
Cryptomeria japonica (Japanese cedar) is the source of this 3109-nucleotide long non-coding RNA. RefSeq lists it as uncharacterized. NCBI's taxonomy places the organism in Eukaryota, Viridiplantae, Streptophyta, Pinopsida, Cupressales, Cupressaceae. The record is from RefSeq and is a predicted model, not a curated record. The transcript has 3 exons.